RNAcentral lists this ribosomal RNA (537 nucleotides) under Weissella confusa. RNAcentral describes it as "partial 23S ribosomal RNA". The stretch from base 102 to 537 matches the Rfam family "Eukaryotic large subunit ribosomal RNA", at positions 1 to 404 of the family's 3401-position model. Lineage: Bacteria; Bacillati; Bacillota; Bacilli; Lactobacillales; Lactobacillaceae. The record is from RNAcentral.
CCAAAAAUCAUCAAACAAGCCAAAUGCAUGUAAGGAUGCUUUAGGUCGUUUACGUGUUGGUGCUGCUAUCGGUGCUGGCGCAGGUAACGAGGAGAGAGCAAAGGCAUUAGUAGAGGCUGGAGGACUCCCUUAACUUAAGCAUAUCAAUAAGGGAAGGAAGAGAAAAUAACAAUGAUUUCUUGAGUAAUGGCGAAUGAAAAAGAAUUAGGCCGAGUUGGUAAAGACGGUAUUCGGUAACGCUUGGGUUCUUCGGGAUCUUUGCACGGGUAUCGUGGUGUAACCGAGAACGGGACGAUUCAACCGCGAAGUUUGGCGUGAACAGCCUGGAAAGGGUGGCCAAGGAGAGUGAAAGCCUCGUAAACGCUGAGCCGAGUGAAAAAAAUUGUUCCGGGAAAAGAGUAAAUUUAUUUGGAAGUAUAGAUUGAAUAGGUGAUAGUAUUCAUCAAAGCCUAAAUAUUACAGGAAAACCGAUAGCGAAGAAGUACUGUGAAGGAAAACUCAAAAGAACUUUGAAAAAAGAGUGAAAAGAGCUUGAAA